GUGGGGAAUAUUGGGCAAUGGGCGCAAGCCUGACCCAGCAACGCCGCGUGAAGGAAGAAGGCUUUCGGGUUGUAAACUUCUUUUAAGGGGGACGAACAAAUGACGGUACCCCUUGAAUAAGCCACGGCUAACUACGUGCCAGCAGCCGCGGUAAUACGUAGGUGGCAAGCGUUAUCCGGAUUUAUUGGGUGUAAAGGGCGUGUAGGCGGGAGCGCAAGUCAGAUGUGAAAACUCAGGGCUCAACCCUGAGCCUGCAUUUGAAACUGUGUUUCUUGAGUGCUGGAGAGGCAAUCGGAAUUCCGUGUGUAGCGGUGAAAUGCGUAGAUAUACGGAGGAACACCAGUGGCGAAGGCGGAUUGCUGGACAGUAACUGACGCUGAGGCGCGAAAGCGUGGGGAGCAAACAGG
This 407-nucleotide ribosomal RNA is filed under the name uncultured bacterium. RNAcentral's name for it is "bacterial SSU rRNA". It matches the Rfam family "Bacterial small subunit ribosomal RNA", at positions 354 to 776 of the family's 1533-position model. The record is from RNAcentral.